RNAcentral lists this ribosomal RNA (254 nucleotides) under uncultured bacterium. Its description in RNAcentral is "partial 16S ribosomal RNA". It matches the Rfam family "Bacterial small subunit ribosomal RNA", at positions 524 to 776 of the family's 1533-position model. The record is from RNAcentral.
UACGUAGGGGGCAAGCGUUGUCCGGAUUUAUUGGGCGUAAAGAGCUCGUAGGCGGUUCCGUAAGUCGUGAAGUCAAAUCUCUGGGCUCAACCCAGAAUCGCUUCCGAUACUGCGGUAACUGGAGUCCGGUAGGGGAGUGUGGAAUUCCUGGUGUAGCGGUGAAAUGCGCAGAUAUCAGGAGGAACACCAACAGCGAAGGCAGCACUCUGGGCCGGUACUGACGCUGAGGAGCGAAAGCAUGGGGAGCGAACAGG